UCCCCAGUAGCUCAGUUGGUCAGAGCAUCCGACUGUUAAUCGGAGGGUCGUAGGUUCAAGUCCUACCUGGGGAG
This 74-nucleotide transfer RNA is filed under the name bacterium. RNAcentral describes it as "tRNA-Asn". It matches the Rfam family "tRNA". From Rfam's summary of the family: Transfer RNA (tRNA) molecules are approximately 80 nucleotides in length. The record is from RNAcentral. RNAcentral also lists the same sequence under 4 other names.